AUUGAACGCUGGCGGCAUGCUUUACACAUGCAAGUCGAACGGUAACAGGGAGCUUGCUCCGCUGACGAGUGGCGAACGGGUGAGUAAUGCAUCGGAACAUGCCCAGUCAUGGGGGAUAACUACGCGAAAGCGUAGCUAAUACCGCAUACGCCCUGAGGGGGAAAGUGGGGGAUCUUAGGACCUCACGUGAUUGGAGUGGCCGAUGUCAGAUUAGCUAGUUGGUGAGGUAAAGGCUCACCAAGGCGACGAUCUGUAGCGGGUCUGAGAGGAUGAUCCGCCACACUGGGACUGAGACACGGCCCAGACUCCUACGGGAGGCAGCAGCGGGGAAUAUUGCGCAAUGGGCGAAAGCCUGACGCAGCCACGCCGCGUGAGCGAUGAAGGCCUCGGUC
RNAcentral lists this ribosomal RNA (392 nucleotides) under uncultured bacterium. RNAcentral describes it as "bacterial SSU rRNA". It matches the Rfam family "Bacterial small subunit ribosomal RNA", at positions 30 to 424 of the family's 1533-position model. The record is from RNAcentral.